GGCUGGAUGGCUUAGUCGCUGGAGCAUGAGACUCUUAAUCUCCAGGUCAUGGGUUCGAGUCCCGCACUGGGUU
Molecule: non-coding RNA, 73 nt
Organism: Podarcis lilfordi (Lilford's wall lizard)
Lineage: Eukaryota; Metazoa; Chordata; Lepidosauria; Squamata; Lacertidae
Source: the annotation of a GenBank genome assembly